CUUUCGAGAACACAUUUUACCGACUCAGCGCUAAGGGCAAGCUGCUGGCGAAAAUAGAUAACGAAUCAAUACCAAAUGACCAUAGUCCGCAAGCUCCACAGCAACAGCCCCUCGGUGAGUCGAUAAAGUAUCCCGAAAUUAGCCUCCCUAGCUUCGAUGGAGACCUAACACAGUGGCUGCAGUUCCGAGACACAUUUGAUGCCCUAGUCAAUCAAGCUAGCCUGGCACCUAUUGUAAAAUAUAAAUACCUACGCAGUUGUUUACGAGACGGCGCACUUGAGGUAAUUAGUUCGCUCGAUUUCUCCGAGGAAGGGUACACGCUCGCGUGGCAGAUGCUUUGUGAACGUUAUAAUAAUCCUAAACGUUUAGUUUCCAACCACAUGCGAGCCUUGUUCGAUGUGGAACCCGUACCGUCAACUCCUUCAGGUCUUAGAGGUCUGUGCGAUAAUAUUUCCAAACAUUUGAGAUCCUUGCGUUCAUUAAAUGUACCUACCGAAAAUUGGGAUCUCGCAAUUAUUCACUUACUAGUUAAAAAGUUAGACAGUCGACUGCAAUCAAAGUGGGAAAAUAGUGUUGAUUUGAGAAAAUUGCCUUCGUUGCAGGACUUCAAAACCUUCCUAAAGAACCGAGCUGACCGGCUGGAAGCGACCAGCCCAGCAGUACCAUCGGACGCACCCAGCACUUCCAAGAAGGCCAUGGUAACCACGUCCGAACCUAUUAAGCUGCAGAGGCCAUAGCGAACCAGUUCUACAUGGACGAUUUUAUCGCCGGCGGUGACGACGAGAAUCAGGUAGCCGAAACUGCAUCACAGGUGAACGAGAUCCUGCGAGGAGCCAACUUCACGCUGCGGAAAUGGAAGUCCAACUCCGAAGCCAUCAUAAAACGGGUGAGCGAAACACAUACACACCAAAACACAUCUACCACCGAAUUUGGAGAUAAAACACAUAACGUCCUGGGUUUAGCGUGGUCUAGUGACUCAGAUGAGCUUAUGUAUACCAUUAAAGAAAACCAAAUUUCACACCCAAUCACCAAAAGAAAGGUACUAGGGGUAAUUUCGUCCAUUUUUGACCCCCUAGGCCUGACAGGACCAGUCAUUGUAGUAGCCAAAAUAUUUAUCCAAAAAUUAUUUAAGGCUCAAUUAGAUUGGGAUACCGAAUUAACACAAGACUUGAUCCAAGAAUGGAACACAUUCUAUCGAGACUUGUUUUUAUUAAACCAAUUAAAAAUUUCGAGAUGUACAGUCAUACCUAAUUAUGUAACGAUACAAAUUCAUGGAUUUUGUGACAGCAGUAUUAAAGCCUAUGGCGCUGCCAUUUAUAUACGAUCGAGCGAUAGGGUAGGAAACGUCCAAGUUCACCUACUUUAUUCAAAAUCAAAAAUCACACCAAUUAAAUCCCAAACUGUUCCAAAUUUGGAACUUUGUUCCAGUUUACUUCUCGCAACACAUGUAGACAAAGUAAAACGAGCAUUAAAAUGUGACCUUUCCGGAAUCAACCUGUGGUCAGAUUCAAAAAUAACUUUGUGUUGGAUUAAAAAUAGUAACCUUAAAUUAACUUGUUUUGUUAGUAACAGAGUCACAAAAAUAUUAUCACUUACAAACAAGCAAGACUGGUCCUGGGUCCGCUCGGAGGAGAACCCCGCCGACCUUUUGUCCCGAGGGGUAGCACCAGGCAAGCUGGAAACCAACCAGUUAUGGUGGUCCGGCCCCGUGUGGUUAAGCCAGAGUUCUGACACAUGGCCAACCCACGAUUCUAAGUCACUGGAUCACAUACCCGAGGCCGAGAGCGACGUAGACAUAACACUCACUUUGGCUAUUAACACAGAAUCUAACGACACGAUACAAUAUCUUUUUCACAGGUGGUCUAGUGAUAAAACACUUAUUCAUGUAUUAGCAUACAUACUUCGAUUUAUAUAUAACACAAAAAAUAAAACACGAACAAUUAAUCCAAAUAAAAAACUAUCAGGACCAUUGUCCGUAGAAGAAUUAAAAAAAUCGGAUCACACAUUAAUCAGACAUUCACAAAUGGAAUCAUUUCCACACGAAUAUAAAUUGUUGCAAAAUAACAAACCGGUUCUUAACAAAUCCAAAAUAUUAUCUUUACACCCAUUCAUGAAGGACGGACUCAUUCGCGUAGGCGGACGAAUCGGUCUUUCGCAUUAUGCAUAUGAAAAAAAGCACCCUUUAAUACUAAGUCACGAACACACGUUUACCAAAAUACUGAUGGAAAACGCACACAUACGUACUCUGCACGCUGGCCCUCAGUUAUUACUAUCAACUAUUCGCGAGCGCAUCUGGCCAACUAAAGGUAGAAUGUUAGCUUCAAAAAUUGUAAAUAAAUGCGUUCCGUGUUUUAGAGCAAAUCCAAAGACUACUAACCCUAUAAUGGGAGACUUACCCCCCUCGAGGGUUAACCCAUCCCCCCCCCCCCCCUUUGCUAUCACGGGUAUCGAUUAUGGAGGACCUUAUAACAUUAGAGAUAGGACAGGACGUGGUUACAAGGUCUAUAAGUGCUAUAUUGCAGUAUUUAUUUGUUUUGCAACAAAGGCAAUUCAUCUCGAAUUAAUUACAGGGCUCGAGUCAGCCAACUUCCUGGCGGCACUGCGACGGUUCAUCGCCAGGAGAGGUAAACCGAAGGAGUUGGACUUCUGGCGGCGCUGGUCACGUGACUACAUCGGAACGCUGCAGGAGCGCACGAAGUGGAGGAGCGCGCGCGGCCCAAGCCUCGCAGUCGGCACCGUCGUCCUGGUGCGAGAAGAGCGCCUGCCACCCUGCCGGUGGAGGCUGGGCAAGAUCGUCGCGACGCAGCCGGGCCGGGAUGGCAUCACCAGGGUAGCCAUCAUCCGAACCGCCAGAGGAGACAUCCAACGCGCAUUCAAUAACAUUUGUCCUUUACCUACUUCGGGCCAAGUUGUAUAAGUAGUU
This is an RNA transcript of Cydia splendana, 2923 nucleotides long. RefSeq lists it as uncharacterized. Lineage: Eukaryota; Metazoa; Arthropoda; Insecta; Lepidoptera; Tortricidae. The record is from RefSeq and is a predicted model, not a curated record. The transcript has 3 exons.